AUGUCACCGUCGUCGUCGCUCUACUCCGGCCGUCUCCUCUCCUCCCGCCCGGCGUCCAAGGGGCUCGUACGUCGUCUCCUCAAUCACGAUGGGAGCAGGUGGGUCAGGCCGUCGUGCUCCCUGUCUAUGAACGGCUGCGCGGCCGGCGUGGGCGCGGUGACCAUGCACGAGACGCGGGUCCUGCCGGCCGCGUCGGCGCCGCAGGAGGCCGUCGGGCAGCUCAGGGCCGCCGUCGCCGCGCUCAACGCCGACCCGCCGGUGUCCUCCUCCGGCAUCAUCCGCAUCGAGGUGCCGAUUCGGCAGCGAGGGGACGCCAUCGAGUGGCUGCACGCGCAGAGGCAGAGCUCCCUGCCCCGCUGCUUCUUCUCCGCCCGGGCGCCGCUGCCGGACACUCCGGCCCUCGCCGUGGGCAUCAGCAGCAACGGCAACGGCAGCCACAAGGAGCAGUGGGAGCAGCCGGUAAGCGUCGCCGGCGUGGGGUCGGCGGUCUUCUUCCGCGGCACGGACCCCUUCUCCCUCCGCGACUGGCGAGCCAUCAAGAGAUUUCUUUCAAGGGACUGCCCGCUGAUCCGCGCCUACGGCGCCAUCCGUUUCGACGCGUCGAGCGACGCCUCGGUCGAAUGGGAAGACUACGGCGCAUUCUACUUCGUCGUUCCACAAGUUGAGUUCAGCGAGCUCGAGGAGGGCUCGGUUCUCGCGACGACGAUUGCGUGGGACGACUCCCUUUCUUGGACAUGGCAGAGCGCUGUGGAGGAGCUUCAAUCGACAUUGCACGAGAUAUCACCCUGUUCAGUUAAGGUGAACAGGUCCACCCUGCAAACCGCCAUCGUAAAUCUCAAUCAUGUCCCCACCAAGGCGUCCUGGGAUCUUGCUGUUACUCAAGCUCUUCGGAUGAUCAAAGGGAGCCAGACGGAAUUAGUCAAGGUUGUGCUGGCAAGGUGCAGCAGGUACAUCACUGAUACUUGCAUCGACCCUCUGGAGCUGUUAGCUUGUCUGAAGGUUGAGGGCCAGAAUGCCUACCAGUUCUGCAUACAGCCACCCGAUGCUCCUGCAUUUGUUGGAAAUAGUCCAGAGCAACUAUUUCACCGGAAAUACUUGAACAUUUCCAGCGAGGCUUUAGCCGGUACGCGAGCAAGAGGGAAAACAAGGGCUGAUGAUUUUCAAAUUGGCCAGGAAUUGCUUCUAAGCAUCAAAGAGGACACUGAAUUUACUAUAGUACGGGAAAGCAUAAAGAAGAAGCUUGAGAUGAUCUGUGAUGAGGUUGUUGUCAAUCCCAGUAAGGCCCUUCGGAAACUUCCAAGAGUACAACAUUUGUCAGCUCAAUUAGCUGCAAGAUUAAGAAAUGAGGACGACGAGUUUGACAUCCUAAAUGCUCUUCAUCCAAGCCCAGCUGUUUGUGGUUUGCCCACUGAAGAAGCGCGCCAAUUCAUACGAGAUUAUGAAAUUUUCGACCGUGGAAUGUACGCUGGACCUGUUGGUUGGUUUGGUGGAGCUGAAAGUGAGUUUGCUGUUGGAAUUAGAUCAGCACUACUUGGAAAAGGAUAUAGCACUUUAGUUUAUGCCGGUGCCGGGAUUGUCGAAGGUACAAAUCCAUCUUUUGAAUGGGAUGAGCUUGAUCUCAAAGCAUCUCAGUUUGCAAAGUUGUUGCAGUAUCAAGAACAUCAUAUUUGCUACCAAGAGGCAGGAAACAUGGGGACAUUGAUUUGA
Molecule: ribosomal RNA, 1707 nt
Filed under: Triticum aestivum (bread wheat)
Lineage: Eukaryota; Viridiplantae; Streptophyta; Magnoliopsida; Poales; Poaceae
Description: partial small subunit ribosomal RNA
Source: RNAcentral